UCCGUAGGUGAACCUGCGGAAGGAUCAUUAUCGUAGGGCUUCGGCCCUGUCGAGAUAGAACCCUUGCCUUUUUGAGUACCUUUCGUUUCCUCGGCAGGCUCGCCUGCCAAUGGGGACCCCAAAAAACACUUUGCAGUACCUGUAAUAGUCUGAACAAACAAACAAAAAUUAAAACUUUCAACAACGGAUCUCUUGGUUCUGGCAUCGAUGAAGAACGCAGCGAAAUGCGAUAAGUAGUGUGAAUUGCAGAAUUCAGUGAAUCAUCGAAUCUUUGAACGCACAUUGCGCCCUUUGGUAUUCCUUAGGGCAUGCCUGUUCGAGCGUCAUUUCAACCCUCAGGGCCCUCCAGCAGGGCGCUGGUGUUGGGGAUCGGCAGUCCCAGCGGCUGCCGUCCCUGAAAUGUAGUGGCGGUCCCACCGUGACCUCCCCUGUGCAGUACAUCGCUCGCAGAGGGACAGCGGUGCGGCCACGCCGUAAAACGCCCAACUCUUCAAGGUUGACCUCGGAUCAGGUAGGACUACCCGCUGAACUUAAGCAUAUCAAUAAGCGGAGGAAGUCGACUGCCAAGGGGCACACAGGGGGGGAUA
Molecule: ribosomal RNA, 587 nt
Filed under: uncultured fungus
Lineage: Eukaryota; Fungi
Description: eukaryotic LSU rRNA
Rfam family: 5.8S ribosomal RNA (bases 173-326)
Source: RNAcentral